GUAAAGUGCCGAACGGGUGAGUAAUAAGUGAGUAAUUAACCUUUUAGACUGGGAUAACAUUCCGAAAGGGAUGCUAAUACCGGAUAAGACCACAAUGCUCAUGCGAUGUGGUAAAAGGUGGCCUUAUGGGCUGUUGCUAAAAGAUAAGCUCGCUUACCAUUAGCUAGUUGGUAGGGUAAUGGCCUACCAAGGCAACGAUGGUUAGCCGGCUUGAGAGGGUGUCCGGCCACACUGGAACUGAGAUACGGUCCAGACUCCUACGGGAGGCAGCAGUGAGGAAUAUUGCGCAAUGGGGGAAACCCUGACGCAGCAACGCCGCGUGAGCGAUGAAGGCCUUCGGGUCGUAAAGCUCUGUCAGGUGGAACGAAAACUACAAAAUGAAUAAUUUUGUAGUAUGACGGUACUACCAA
RNAcentral lists this ribosomal RNA (410 nucleotides) under uncultured bacterium. RNAcentral describes it as "SSU rRNA". It matches the Rfam family "Bacterial small subunit ribosomal RNA", at positions 90 to 484 of the family's 1533-position model. The record is from RNAcentral.